GCCUCUGAAGAGCCUCAGAUUUGAGAAAGGCUAUACUUUCCCUUGCAAGUCUGUUUUAACACAGCUGUCUGUAGGUCUUGUUCUGCUGUAACACUGAUGUAAAGCUGUUGCCAACAAAGGAUUUGUUUCUGAUUUAUAAGACUGGAAAUGUUCUAUCUCUUUCCUCUCUUCAUUGCUGUCUUUGCUUUCCUUUGCCUUUUUUCAGUUUCACAUUGAGUUUAAGGACUAGUAAAUAAACUCAUUCAAGCUUCUGUACAUCAGCCACAGGAUAUUGGCCUCUGCUGAGCCCAAAGGCUUCUCUCUGGGUGAAUAAUAUCUUCCAGGAAACACCUGAUCUCACUUUGAAGGCAGCAAAAGAGGGAGACCCUGCCACUUCUUUGCCAGCUUGCCUGCAUUUUCCUAUCCUAUUUAUUCAGAGUCUCACUGCAAUCCCUUCUGCAGUUGCCUUAUGUUUUAUGGAGUGGCUGAAGAGUAUAUGAUGUAAUUAUGAGAAAAUCUUUUUGGAAGCAUCAGGUGAGUGAGAUACACAGGAUUGCUGGAAGAACCAGAGCAAAUAUGCAUUAGAGCUUCUGGAAGCACAGCAUGCCAAGUCACAUACUGCACUGCUCAAAGUCCACUGGAAUUCUGAGAAACAGGAAACACUAAAUUUACCCUGAAAAUCCCUGUUCUUCAGACAUAAACAAAGUUCUACAAUCUGCCCAGCCUUCUGUGAGUCAUCUCUACAUAAUACUCUUUAAGGAAAACUUGACUAAAACACAGUGUCCAGCAAAUAUCAAACUAGUAAUGAAUACAUGUUCCAUGAGCUAUUGUAAAGUCUUAUGUAUUUCACUGGCAGUGAAACACUCCACCCCACGAACUGAGCAUAAGAUGGGUGGCCAGGCUUAGAAGUGCCUCAAGCUUGGCUUUGCAAGGUGGGCAGGAUGGCCUUCCCACUCUGUAGGACGUAUUCAGGACUGAAGAAGUCCUGCCUUGGCAGGAGUGUCAGCCCAGAAUGCCAGGCCAGCUCAAGGCCCAUUUGAAUACUCAUCCAUACUGGCAAAGCUUUGCA
Parus major (Great Tit) is the source of this 1048-nucleotide long non-coding RNA. RefSeq lists it as uncharacterized. The record is from RefSeq and is a predicted model, not a curated record. The transcript is spliced from 3 exons. NCBI's taxonomy places the organism in Eukaryota, Metazoa, Chordata, Aves, Passeriformes, Paridae.